GUUCUCGUGGUGUAGUGGUUAUCAUACUCUCUUAGGGUGAUCUAACAUCUUGAGCUUUGCCUCCUCGUCUCCUCUUGGGAGACGGAUUGGGAGUGGCCCCGGGUUCAAAUCCCGGCGAGGACC
This is a non-coding RNA of Trichosporon asahii var. asahii CBS 2479, 123 nucleotides long. The record is from the annotation of a RefSeq genome assembly. Lineage: Eukaryota; Fungi; Basidiomycota; Tremellomycetes; Trichosporonales; Trichosporonaceae.